AUUGAACGCUGGCGGCAUGCCUUACACAUGCAAGUCGAACGGCAGCACGGGAGCAAUCCUGGUGGCGAGUGGCGAACGGGUGAGUAAAGUAUCGGAACGUGCCCAGUCGUGGGGGAUAACGUAGCGAAAGUUACGCUAAUACCGCAUACGAUCUAUGGAUGAAAGCGGGGGAUCGCAAGACCCCGCGCGAUUGGAGCGGCCGAUAUCAGAUUAGGUAGCUGGUGGGGUAAAGGCUCACCAAGCCGACGAGCUGUAGCUGGUCUGAGAGGACGACCAGCCACACUGGGACUGAGACACGGCCCAGACUCCUACGGGAGGCAGCAGUGGGGAAUUUUGGACAAUGGGCGAAAGCCUGAUCCAGCCAUGCCGCGUGCAGGAUGAAGGCCUUCGGGUUGUAAACUGCUUUUGUACGGAACGAAAAGGUUUGGGCUAAUAAGCUGAGCUCAUGACGGUACCGUAAGAAUAAGCACCGGCUAACUACGUGCCAGCAGCCGCGGUAA
RNAcentral lists this ribosomal RNA (500 nucleotides) under uncultured bacterium. RNAcentral's name for it is "partial 16S ribosomal RNA". It matches the Rfam family "Bacterial small subunit ribosomal RNA", at positions 29 to 523 of the family's 1533-position model. The record is from RNAcentral.